Molecule: ribosomal RNA, 270 nt
Filed under: uncultured archaeon
Lineage: Archaea
Description: partial 16S ribosomal RNA
Rfam family: Archaeal small subunit ribosomal RNA
Source: RNAcentral
CAGCACCUCAAGUGGUCAGGAUGAUUAUUGGGCCUAAAGCAUCCGUAGCCGGCGCUGUAAGUUUUCGGUUAAAUCUGUACGCUCAACGUACAGGCUGCCGGGAAUACUGCAGCGCUAGGGAGUGGGAGAGGUAGACGGUACUCGGUAGGAAGGGGUAAAAUCCUUUGAUCUAUUGAUGACCACCUGUGGCGAAGGCGGUCUACCAGAACACGUCCGACGGUGAGGGACGAAGGCCAGGGGAGCAAACCGGAUUAGAGACCCGAGUAGUCC